CCUAAAACUAACACUAACUACAUAGUAAUUCCCUCCACCAUUUCGUGCAACACUAGCAGUACAGUAAUACAUACGUACCUCUCUCACUUCGUAGUCCAAAAUACCACCCCAAAAAACUUUCGCAGCUAGACCCUCUCCGAAGACAAAAAUUCCAAGAACGGCCUCUCGUCACGCGGCGGCGGUUCCCUCAACGUCGACCUCGCCCGCCCCGGCGGCGGAGGCGGCCUCUUCGGCCGCCGGCGCCUCGCGGUCGUAGGGGGACAGCCACUUGGCCCGCAUGUACUCGGGCUUGCGCCACGGCGGGAGGUGCAGGCCGCGCUUCUUCAGGCUGGCGCGCGCGGCGUCGGCGGCGGCGGCCACGAGGAGGCGGAGCCGGUCGUCCUUGCCCACGAACACCGCCGGCAGCCGCUGCAGCAGGGACCGGUACGCCUUGGUCGGCCGCGCCACCUCGAACGCGGACCGGAAGUCCACGUCCACCAGGACACGCUCCCGCGCGCCGCGGUCGGACGCCGCCGGGAGGAGCACGUCGACGUACGCGUGCUCGCCGGCGGGGUGGGAGGGGGACUUGUCCCAGCGGGAGACGCAGACGGCGGCGUCGUGCCCCGCGGCGCGGAGCGAGGCGGCGACGAGGCGGAGCAGGUCGCGCCGGCGCGCACCCGCCGCGCGGUGGCGCUCCAGGUGCGCGCAGACGUCGGCGAGGAGGUUGCGUUCCCGGAGCGUCGCGCAGUGGACGAGGCCCUGGAGACGGCGGCGCGAGACGGUUAGAAAUCACCUCUUGCGCUCUCGAUGGCGGCCACCGCCCACCAAAAUUGUUGAAGCCAAGGAACCAAGCUACUACCUUGAUCGUCUCCGCGACGUCGGAGGCCGCCGCCGCAGCUUCCUCGUCCUCCUCGUCGUCGGAAUUGUCGCCUCCGUGGAAGCAGUUGCAGUACCGCCCGCCGUGGCCUGGCUUCUCGGCGCCCGCGCCGACGCCGUCCUCCAAGAAGCUUCGAACCAUGCCGUCCAGGCACACGGAGCUCGGCUCCGCCUCAUCCUUCUCUCCCGCUGCCGCAGCUGACGGUAGCCGCUCCGCUGGCGAGAUCCGCAGGAGUUGGCGAUCGAACAGCCGCUUCA
Molecule: long non-coding RNA, 1113 nt
Filed under: Setaria viridis
Lineage: Eukaryota; Viridiplantae; Streptophyta; Magnoliopsida; Poales; Poaceae
Description: long non-coding RNA (SVIR_LNC010457)
Source: RNAcentral